RNAcentral lists this unclassified non-coding RNA (575 nucleotides) under Hevea brasiliensis (rubber tree). Lineage: Eukaryota; Viridiplantae; Streptophyta; Magnoliopsida; Malpighiales; Euphorbiaceae. The record is from RNAcentral.
UAUGACUUAAUUGAGCCCCCGAUCAACUUUAAUUUGGAUGACGAUGUUGCUAAGAAGACAGAAGAGCUCAUAUGUGACAUGUACGGGAAGACAGUAACUCUUCUGAGGCAGCAUGAUACUGCCUUACUCAAAACAGUGAAGGUUCUUCUGAAUCGGACUGAGAUCAGUGGAGACGAGAUCGACUUAAUCCUGAGCCACUAUCCACCAAAUACACCCACAAGUCUUCUGCUGGAGGAGAGAGAUCCCGCGAGUCUUCCAUUUGUUGACGAAAAGCAAGAACAGCAUAAUAACAUUGAGUACAGUCUGUCUUCAUGAGAAAACGGAAUCCUUGAUCCAGGCUUUCUACCCUAUUCGAAGCCAGUUUUGACGUGCAUUCGGAACACGAAAUAUUACAGCUGAGAACUUUCUGACAAAUAGUGAGAUGCUAAAAAUGCAGUUUGUUUGCUGUAUGAAUCCAUAUCUAUAGGAAUUUUGUUAAAACUGUUGAUUUAUUCUUCUGUGAUUUUUGUAUUUCAGUAUAUUACUAUUGAAGAGGCAAAAUCUUCACAACAAAAUUAAUAUAAGAAAAGUAGUUG